AUUGAACGCUGGCGGAAUGCUUUACACAUGCAAGUCGAGCGGCAGCGCGGGGGCAACCCUGGCGGCGAGCGGCGAACGGGUGAGUAACAUAUCGGAACGUACCCAGUCGUGGGGGAUAACUAUCCGAAAGGAUAGCUAAUACCGCAUACGUCCUGAGGGAGAAAGCGGGGGAUCGCAAGACCUCGCGCGAUUGGAGCGGCCGAUAUCGGAUUAGCUAGUUGGUGGGGUAAAGGCUCACCAAGGCGACGAUCCGUAGCGGGUCUGAGAGGACGACCCGCCACACUGGAACUGAGACACGGUCCAGACUCCUACGGGAGGCAGCAGUGGGGAAUUUUGGACAAUGGGGGCAACCCUGAUCCAGCCAUGCCGCGUGUGUGAAGAAGGCCUCGGUUGUAGG
This 397-nucleotide ribosomal RNA is filed under the name uncultured bacterium. RNAcentral's name for it is "bacterial SSU rRNA". It matches the Rfam family "Bacterial small subunit ribosomal RNA", at positions 29 to 429 of the family's 1533-position model. The record is from RNAcentral.